Molecule: ribosomal RNA, 795 nt
Filed under: uncultured Glomeromycotina
Lineage: Eukaryota; Fungi; Glomeromycota
Description: SSU rRNA
Rfam family: Eukaryotic small subunit ribosomal RNA
Source: RNAcentral
AUCAACUUUCGAUGGUAGGAUAGAGGCCUACCAUGGUGGUAACGGGUAACGGGGUGUUAGGGCACGACACCGGAGAGGGAGCCUGUGAAACGGCUACCACAUCCAAGGAUGGCAGCAGGCGCGCAAAUUACCCAAUCCCGACACGGGGAGGUAGUGACAAUAAAUAACAAUACAGGGCUCUUAUGGGUCUUGUAAUUGGAAUGAGUACAAUUUAAAUCCCUUAACGAGGAACAAUUGGAGGGCAAGUCUGGUGCCAGCAGCCGCGGUAAUUCCAGCUCCAAUAGCGUAUAUUAAAGUUGUUGCAGUUAAAAAGCUCGUAGUUGAAUUUCGGGGUUCUACCGUUGGUCGGGCAAUUGUCUGUACUGGCGUGUGGAAUUUCUACCUUCUGGGGAACCAUCAUGUUAUUAAUUUAGCGUGGUGGGAAACCAGGACCUUUACCUUGAAAAAAUUAGAGUGUUCAAAGCAGGCUUACGUCUGAAUACAUUAGCAUGGAAUAAUAAAAUAGGACGGUGGUCCUGUUUUGUUGGUUUCUGAAUCACCGUAAUGAUUAAUAGGGAUAGUUGGGGGCAUUAGUAUUCAAUUGUCAGAGGUGAAAUUCUUGGAUUUAUUGAAGACUAACUUCUGCGAAAGCAUUUGCCAAGGAUGUUUUCAUUAAUCAAGAACGAAAGUUAGGGGAUCGAAGACGAUCAGAUACCGUCGUAGUCUUAACCAUAAACUAUGCCGACUAGGGAUCGGACGAUGUUAAUUUUUCUUGACUCGUUCGGCGCCUUACGGGAAACCAAAGUGUUUGGGUUC